Long non-coding RNA from Dama dama (fallow deer), 589 nucleotides. RefSeq lists it as uncharacterized. The transcript has 4 exons. The record is from RefSeq and is a predicted model, not a curated record. Lineage: Eukaryota; Metazoa; Chordata; Mammalia; Artiodactyla; Cervidae.
CUGGGGAGUUAAGAUCCCACCAUACCUAAAGCUGAAGCAACAUGAGAAGGUCCUGGAAACGGGGAAGAGUCAGCUACCUCAGCUGGGUUCUCAGUCGUAACGCCCAUCAGAGUCAUCGGGUCAACUUUUCAGAAUGGCACACCCAGGACCAGCCAGUCAACCAGACUCUUAGGCGGAAGCUUCUAGUGUCAGGAUCUACUUCCCCAGAACAACAGCUGCAAACUAGUCCACGGAAACUUCUACUGCGAGUCAUGAGCUCAUUUCAGGUAGUCCCUGAAAGUGUCAUCUGUGGAGUCUGGGGCUCAUGGGGGAAGACGCUGGGAUACGAUCCAGUAGCCAUUGAGAGUGCGCCUUCAGCAGAAUAGUCUUAUUAUCCAGCUCCGGGUUCACCCUGAGUCCUAGUCUCACCUGGGCUGCUUCCUGACUUUUGUCACUCAUGAACCCACCUUUUCAUGUCCACCUGGAGAGCCGGGUGUGUGUCUAAACGAGGAUUAUUUCAACAGACCAGAGUGGGCUGACGAUGGAGGCACACAGGUGAGCAGACAUGGUCCUUGCUCUCAGUAGAAAAUCAAACAGGUAGGUGGGUAAC